AGUGAACGCUGGCGGUAGGCCUAACACAUGCAAGUCGAACGGCAGCACAGUAAGAGCUUGCUCUUACGGGUGGCGAGUGGCGGACGGGUGAGGAAUACAUCGGAAUCUACUUUUUCGUGGGGGAUAACGUAGGGAAACUUACGCUAAUACCGCAUACGACCUACGGGUGAAAGCAGGGGAUCUUCGGACCUUGCGCGAUUGAAUGAGCCGAUGUCGGAUUAGCUAGUUGGCGGGGUAAAGGCCCACCAAGGCGACGAUCCGUAGCUGGUCUGAGAGGAUGAUCAGCCACACUGGAACUGAGACACGGUCCAGACUCCUACGGGAGGCAGCAGUGGGGAAUAUUGGACAAUGGGCGCAAGCCUGAUCCAGCCAUACCGCGUGGGCGAAGAAGGCCCUCGGGUUGUAAAGCCCUUUUGUUGGGAAAGAAAAGCAGCAGGUUAAUACCCCGCUGUUCUGACGGUACCCAAAGAAUAAGCACCGGCUAACUUCGUG
RNAcentral lists this ribosomal RNA (492 nucleotides) under uncultured bacterium. Its description in RNAcentral is "partial 16S ribosomal RNA". It matches the Rfam family "Bacterial small subunit ribosomal RNA", at positions 29 to 507 of the family's 1533-position model. The record is from RNAcentral.